This 468-nucleotide ribosomal RNA is filed under the name uncultured bacterium. RNAcentral's name for it is "partial 16S ribosomal RNA". It matches the Rfam family "Bacterial small subunit ribosomal RNA", at positions 28 to 507 of the family's 1533-position model. The record is from RNAcentral.
GACGAACGCUGGCGGCGUGCCUAACACAUGCAAGUCGAACGGAAAGGCCCUGCUUUUGUGGGGUUCUCGAGUGGCGAACGGGUGAGUAACACGUGAGUAACCUGCCCUUGACUUUGGGAUAACUUCAUGAAACUUGGGCUCAUACCGGAUAGGAUCUCUUGCUUCAUGGUGGGGCUUGGAUAGUUUCGGCGGUUGGGGAUGGACUCGCGGCUUAUCAGCUUGUUGGUGGGGUAGUGGCUUACCAAGGCUUUGACGGGUAGCCGGCCUGAGAGGGUGACCGGGAACAUUGGGACUGAGAUACGGCCCAGACUCAUACGGGAGGCAGCAGUAGGAAAUAUUGAAAAAUGGGCGGGAGCCUGAGGCAGAAACGCCGCGUGCGGGAUGACGACCUAGGGGUUGGAAACAGAUUUCGCCUGUAACGAAGAGGGAGUGAAGGUAAUGGGUAAAGAAGCACCGGCUAAAUACGUG